Molecule: unclassified non-coding RNA, 214 nt
Filed under: Hevea brasiliensis (rubber tree)
Lineage: Eukaryota; Viridiplantae; Streptophyta; Magnoliopsida; Malpighiales; Euphorbiaceae
Source: RNAcentral
UCCGCUUUUACAAACGAAGGAGAUGCUAACAUCCUACGAAGAACUCGCCCCAUUUCAGAAUUACUCUUCCAGGAUGGCUGCUAUAGACUAUACUGUUUGUCUUCAUAGUGAAGUAUUUGUGACAACUCAAGGAGGAAAUUUCCCCCACUUUUUGUUGGGUCAUAGAAGAUUCUUGUAUGGUGGACACUCGAGGACAAUUAGGCCAGACAAGAGG